RNAcentral lists this ribosomal RNA (406 nucleotides) under uncultured bacterium. Its description in RNAcentral is "partial 16S ribosomal RNA". It matches the Rfam family "Bacterial small subunit ribosomal RNA", at positions 30 to 526 of the family's 1533-position model. The record is from RNAcentral.
AUUGAACGCUGGCGGCGUGCAUAACACAUGCAAGUCGAACGAAGUGGCGGACGGGUGAGUAAAGCGUGAGUAACCUGCCUUAGAGAAGGGGAUAGCCUUUGGAAACGAAGAAUAAUACACUAUGCUCAAAGAUGGACUUGCGUCUGAUUAGUUAGUUGGUGGGGUAACGGCCCACCAAGACAGCGAUGAGUAGCCGGCUUGAGAGAGUGUACGGCAACAUUGGGACUGAUACACGUGCCAUACUCUACGGGAGGCAGCAGUGGUGAAUUUUGCACAAUGGGGGAAACCCUGAUGCAGCGACGCCGCGUGAUUUAGAAGGCCUUCGGGUUGUAAAAAUCUUUUCUAUGGGAAGCAUUACCAUAGGAAUAAGGACCGGCUAAUUACGUGCCAGCAGCCGCGGUAAUAC